AGAGUUUGAUCCUGGCUCAGGAUGAACGCUGGCGGCGUGCUUAACACAUGCAAGUCGAACGAUCCUUCGGGAUAGUGGCGGACGGGUGAGUAACGCGUGGGAAUCUGCCCUCAGGAGGGGGAUAACGGCUGGAAACGGCCGCUAAUACCCCAUAUGCCGAGAGGUGAAAUGAAUUUCGCCUGAGGAUGAGCCCGCGUCUGAUUAGCUAGUUGGUGGGGUAAAGGCCUACCAAGGCAACGAUCAGUAGCUGGUCUGAGAGGAUGAUCAGCCACACUGGGACUGAGACACGGCCCAGACUCCUACGGGAGGCAGCAGUGGGGAAUUUUCCGCAAUGGGCGAAAGCCUGACGGAGCAACGCCGCGUGAGGGAUGAAGGCCUCUGGGCUGUAAACCUCUUUUCUCAAGGAAGAAGACCUGACGGUACUUGAGGAAUAAGCCACGGCUAAUUCCGUGCCAGCAGCCGCGGUAAUACGGGAGUGGCAAGCGUUAUCCGGAAUUAUUGGGCGUAAAGCGUCCGCAGGCGGCCUUGUAAGUCUGUUGUUAAAGCGUGGAGCUCAACUCCAUUUAAGCAAUGGAAACUACUAGGCUGGAGUGUGGUAGGGGCAGAGGGAAUUCCCGGUGUAGCGGUGAAAUGCGUAGAUAUCGGGAAGAACACCAGUGGCGAAGGCGCUCUGCUGGGCCAUAACUGACGCUCAUGGACGAAAGCCAGGGGAGCGAAAGGGAUUAGAUACCCCUGUAGUCCUGGCCGUAAACGAUGAACACUAGGUGUCGGGGGAAUCGACCCCCUCGGUGUCGUAGCCAACGCGUUAAGUGUUCCGCCUGGGGAGUACGCACGCAAGUGUGAAACUCAAAGGAAUUGACGGGGGCCCGCACAAGCGGUGGAGUAUGUGGUUUAAUUCGAUGCAACGCGAAGAACCUUACCAGGGUUUGACAUCCUGCGAACCCCUGAGAAAUCGGGGGGUGCCUUCGGGAGCGCAGAGACAGGUGGUGCAUGGCUGUCGUCAGCUCGUGUCGUGAGAUGUUGGGUUAAGUCCCGCAACGAGCGCAACCCACGUCUUUAGUUGCCAGCAUUCAGUUGGGCACUCUAGAGAGACCGCCGGUGAUAAACCGGAGGAAGGUGUGGAUGACGUCAAGUCAUCAUGCCCCUUACAUCCUGGGCUACACACGUACUACAAUGCUACGGACAAAGGGCAGCAAGCUCGCGAGAGUUAGCAAAUCCCAUAAACCGUGGCUCAGUUCAGAUCGUAGGCUGCAACUCGCCUACGUGAAGGAGGAAUCGCUAGUAAUCGCAGGUCAGCAUACUGCGGUGAAUACGUUCCCGGGCCUUGUACACACCGCCCGUCACACCAUGGAAGUUGGCCAUGCCCGAAGUCGUUACUCAC
Molecule: ribosomal RNA, 1381 nt
Filed under: metagenome
Description: bacterial SSU rRNA
Rfam family: Bacterial small subunit ribosomal RNA
Source: RNAcentral